AGAUUAAGUUAUUAAGGGCGCACGGUGGAUGCCUUGGCACUAGAAGCCGAUGAAGGACGUUACUAACGACGAUAUGCUUUGGGGAGCUGUAAGUAAGCUUUGAUCCAGAGAUUUCCGAAUGGGGAAACCCAGCAUGAGUUAUGUCAUGUUAUCGAUAUGUGAAUACAUAGCAUAUCAGAAGGCACACCCGGAGAACUGAAACAUCUUAGUACCCGGAGGAAGAGAAAGAAAAUUCGAUUCCCUUAGUAGCGGCGAGCGAAAUGGGAAGAGCCCAAACCAACAAGCUUGCUUGUUGGGGUUGUAGGACACUCUAUACGGAGUUACAAAGGACGACAUUAGACGAAUCAUCUGGAAAGAUGAAUCAAAGAAGGUAAUAAUCCUGUAGUCGAAAAUGUUGUCUCUCUUGAGUGGAUCCUGAGUACGACGGAGCACGUGAAAUUCCGUCGGAAUCUGGGAGGACCAUCUCCUAAGGCUAAAUACUCUCUAGUGACCGAUAGUGAACCAGUACCGUGAGGGAAAGGUGAAAAGCACCCCGGAAGGGGAGUGAAAUAGAACCUGAAACCGUGUGCUUACAAGUAGUCAGAGCCCGUUAAUGGGUGAUGGCGUGCCUUUUGUAGAAUGAACCGGCGAGUUACGAUUUGAUGCAAGGUUAAGCAGUAAAUGUGGAGCCGUAGCGAAAGCGAGUCUGAAUAGGGCGUUUAGUAUUUGGUCGUAGACCCGAAACCAGGUGAUCUACCCUUGGUCAGGUUGAAGUUCAGGUAACACUGAAUGGAGGACCGAACCGACUUACGUUGAAAAGUGAGCGGAUGAACUGAGGGUAGCGGAGAAAUUCCAAUCGAACCUGGAGAUAGCUGGUUCUCUCCGAAAUAGCUUUAGGGCUAGCCUCAAGUGAUGAUUAUUGGAGGUAGAGCACUGUUUGGACGAGGGGCCCCUCUCGGGUUACCGAAUUCAGACAAACUCCGAAUGCCAAUUAAUUUAACUUGGGAGUCAGAACAUGGGUGAUAAGGUCCGUGUUCGAAAGGGAAACAGCCCAGACCACCAGCUAAGGUCCCAAAAUAUAUGUUAAGUGGAAAAGGAUGUGGCGUUGCCCAGACAACUAGGAUGUUGGCUUAGAAGCAGCCAUCAUUUAAAGAGUGCGUAAUAGCUCACUAGUCGAGUGACACUGCGCCGAAAAUGUACCGGGGCUAAACAUAUUACCGAAGCUGUGGAUUGUCCUUUGGACAAUGGUAGGAGAGCGUUCUAAGGGCGUUGAAGCAUGAUCGUAAGGACAUGUGGAGCGCUUAGAAGUGAGAAUGCCGGUGUGAGU
RNAcentral lists this ribosomal RNA (1306 nucleotides) under Staphylococcus aureus. Its description in RNAcentral is "partial 23S ribosomal RNA". It matches the Rfam family "Bacterial large subunit ribosomal RNA", at positions 1 to 1307 of the family's 2925-position model. The record is from RNAcentral. Lineage: Bacteria; Bacillati; Bacillota; Bacilli; Caryophanales; Staphylococcaceae.